Long non-coding RNA from Entelurus aequoreus (snake pipefish), 442 nucleotides. RefSeq lists it as uncharacterized. The transcript is spliced from 3 exons. NCBI's taxonomy places the organism in Eukaryota, Metazoa, Chordata, Actinopteri, Syngnathiformes, Syngnathidae. The record is from RefSeq and is a predicted model, not a curated record.
UCGAAGGGGAAGGGGUGUGUUGCCUGUAAAUUUUGUAGAACAGACUUCUCAAUUGAACACGGUGGCCGAAAUGAUAUAAUCAUUCAUGAACGGAGAGUGAAGCACAAGGUCACAGUCCAGUAUUAUGGGCCACCUCGCAAAAUGGAGACCCGAUGGUGUAAUAUAUGCCGAGACAAAGAUGACUAUGCUGAUAGCUGCAAGCAACAUCCCAUUCUCAUUUGCGGAUGUUUACAACAAAUCCGUGAAGAAUAUGUACCCGGAUUCAGAGAUCGCUUGCCAGUACUCAAAUGGCAGAACAAAGGCGACUCAAAUAGUGAAAGGUGCCAUUGCCCCGGAAUUGGACAAGGAAGUGAUGGAACUUUGCCAAAACCAACCCUUUGGUCUGAUGUGUGAUGAAAGCACAAGCAGAAAGACGGAUAAAGAGUUUGUGAUAUUGGCCAGG